Molecule: ribosomal RNA, 683 nt
Filed under: Paenibacillus lactis
Lineage: Bacteria; Bacillati; Bacillota; Bacilli; Caryophanales; Paenibacillaceae
Description: bacterial SSU rRNA
Rfam family: Bacterial small subunit ribosomal RNA
Source: RNAcentral
GCAAGUCGAGCGGACUUGAUGAGGAGCUUGCUUCUCUGAGAGUUAGCGGCGGACGGGUGAGUAACACGUAGGCAACCUGCCCUCAAGACUGGGAUAACUACCGGAAACGGUAGCUAAUACCGGAUAAUUAAAUUCGCUGCAUGGCGGAGUUAUGAAAGGCGGAGCAAUCUGUCACUUGAGGAUGGGCCUGCGGCGCAUUAGCUAGUUGGUGAGGUAACGGCUCACCAAGGCGACGAUGCGUAGCCGACCUGAGAGGGUGAACGGCCACACUGGGACUGAGACACGGCCCAGACUCCUACGGGAGGCAGCAGUAGGGAAUCUUCCGCAAUGGGCGAAAGCCUGACGGAGCAACGCCGCGUGAGUGAUGAAGGUUUUCGGAUCGUAAAGCUCUGUUGCCAGGGAAGAACGUCUCAUAGAGUAACUGCUAUGAGAGUGACGGUACCUGAGAAGAAAGCCCCGGCUAACUACGUGCCAGCAGCCGCGGUAAUACGUAGGGGGCAAGCGUUGUCCGGAAUUAUUGGGCGUAAAGCGCGCGCAGGCGGUUCUUUAAGUCUGGUGUUUAAACCCGAGGCUCAACUUCGGGACGCACUGGAAACUGGGGGACUUGAGUGCAGAAGAGGAGAGUGGAAUUCCACGUGUAGCGGUGAAAUGCGUAGAUAUGUGGAGGAACACCAGUGGCGAAG